CUCUAUUUGAUAGGAAGGGGGAGCAAGUCUUCCUUGUCAUGCUGUUAGAAAACACCCAGAGUCACAGCACCAUGAUCUCCUGAGAUCGGUAGAGCA
This is a long non-coding RNA of Lynx canadensis (Canada lynx), 96 nucleotides long. RefSeq lists it as uncharacterized. The transcript has 3 exons. NCBI's taxonomy places the organism in Eukaryota, Metazoa, Chordata, Mammalia, Carnivora, Felidae. The record is from RefSeq and is a predicted model, not a curated record.